CCUUACCAGGUCUUGACAUCCUCUGAAAACCCUAGAGAUAGGGCUUCUCCUUCGGGAGCAGAGUGACAGGUGGUGCAUGGUUGUCGUCAGCUCGUGUCGUGAGAUGUUGGGUUAAGUCCCGCAACGAGCGCAACCCUUGAUCUUAGUUGCCAUCAUUAAGUUGGGCACUCUAAGGUGACUGCCGGUGACAAACCGGAGGAAGGUGGGGAUGACGUCAAAUCAUCAUGCCCCUUAUGACCUGGGCUACACACGUGCUACAAUGGACGGUACAAAGAGCUGCAAGACCGCGAGGUGGAGCUAAUCUCAUAAAACCGUUCUCAGUUCGGAUUGUAGGCUGCAACUCGCCUACAUGAAGCUGGAAUCGCUAGUAAUCGCGGAUCAGCAUGCCGCGGUGAAUACGUUCCCGGGCCUUGUACACACCGCCCGUCACACCACGAGAGUUUGU
Molecule: ribosomal RNA, 445 nt
Filed under: Bacillus sp. B18(2015)
Lineage: Bacteria; Bacillati; Bacillota; Bacilli; Caryophanales; Bacillaceae
Description: bacterial SSU rRNA
Rfam family: Bacterial small subunit ribosomal RNA
Source: RNAcentral